This 1118-nucleotide ribosomal RNA is filed under the name Vibrio sp. 11-4(1). RNAcentral's name for it is "bacterial SSU rRNA". It matches the Rfam family "Bacterial small subunit ribosomal RNA", at positions 432 to 1533 of the family's 1533-position model. Lineage: Bacteria; Pseudomonadati; Pseudomonadota; Gammaproteobacteria; Vibrionales; Vibrionaceae. The record is from RNAcentral.
ACUUUCAGUCGUGAGGAAGGCGGCGUCGUUAAUAGCGGCGUUGUUUGACGUUAGCGACAGAAGAAGCACCGGCUAACUCCGUGCCAGCAGCCGCGGUAAUACGGAGGGUGCGAGCGUUAAUCGGAAUUACUGGGCGUAAAGCGCAUGCAGGUGGUUUGUUAAGUCAGAUGUGAAAGCCCGGGGCUCAACCUCGGAAUAGCAUUUGAAACUGGCAGACUAGAGUACUGUAGAGGGGGGUAGAAUUUCAGGUGUAGCGGUGAAAUGCGUAGAGAUCUGAAGGAAUACCGGUGGCGAAGGCGGCCCCCUGGACAGAUACUGACACUCAGAUGCGAAAGCGUGGGGAGCAAACAGGAUUAGAUACCCUGGUAGUCCACGCCGUAAACGAUGUCUACUUGGAGGUUGUGGCCUUGAGCCGUGGCUUUCGGAGCUAACGCGUUAAGUAGACCGCCUGGGGAGUACGGUCGCAAGAUUAAAACUCAAAUGAAUUGACGGGGGCCCGCACAAGCGGUGGAGCAUGUGGUUUAAUUCGAUGCAACGCGAAGAACCUUACCUACUCUUGACAUCCAGAGAACUUUCCAGAGAUGGAUUGGUGCCUUCGGGAACUCUGAGACAGGUGCUGCAUGGCUGUCGUCAGCUCGUGUUGUGAAAUGUUGGGUUAAGUCCCGCAACGAGCGCAACCCUUAUCCUUGUUUGCCAGCGAGUAAUGUCGGGAACUCCAGGGAGACUGCCGGUGAUAAACCGGAGGAAGGUGGGGACGACGUCAAGUCAUCAUGGCCCUUACGAGUAGGGCUACACACGUGCUACAAUGGCGCAUACAGAGGGCGGCCAACUUGCGAGAGUGAGCGAAUCCCAAAAAGUGCGUCGUAGUCCGGAUUGGAGUCUGCAACUCGACUCCAUGAAGUCGGAAUCGCUAGUAAUCGUGGAUCAGAAUGCCACGGUGAAUACGUUCCCGGGCCUUGUACACACCGCCCGUCACACCAUGGGAGUGGGCUGCAAAAGAAGUAGGUAGUUUAACCUUCGGGGGGACGCUUACCACUUUGUGGUUCAUGACUGGGGUGAAGUCGUAACAAGGUAGCGCUAGGGGAACCUGGCGCUGGAUCACCUCCUUAUACGAUGAU